GACGAACCGUGCGAACGUUAUUCGGAAUCACUGGGCUUAAAGCGCGUGUAGGCGGCUAUGCAAGUCGGGCGUGAAAGCCCUCGGCUCAACCGAGGAAGUGCACUCGAAACUGCGUAGCUAGAGUCCCGGAGAGGAAGGUGGAAUACUUGGUGUAGAGGUGAAAUUCGUAGAUAUCAAGUGGAACACCGGUGGCGAAGGCGGCCUUCUGGACGGUGACUGACGCUGAGACGCGAAAGCGUGGGGAGCAAACAGG
Molecule: ribosomal RNA, 253 nt
Filed under: uncultured bacterium
Lineage: Bacteria
Description: partial 16S ribosomal RNA
Rfam family: Bacterial small subunit ribosomal RNA
Source: RNAcentral